Long non-coding RNA from Gallus gallus (chicken), 783 nucleotides. The record is from Ensembl. Lineage: Eukaryota; Metazoa; Chordata; Aves; Galliformes; Phasianidae.
GAGUGAAUAGGAUUUGCCAGGUCUGGGAACAGAGUGGAGGCAUUUAGCUCCCCUUCAGAUACUGUAAGGCCGCUCUCAGGUCUCCCCAGAGCCUUCUCCUCUCCGUGCUGAACAGCCCCAGCUCUCUCAGCCUGUGCUUCCAGGGGAGCUGUUCCAUCACUUGGAUCAUCGUUGUGGCCCUCCCGUGGACACGCUCCAACAGUCAUGAUGUGAGGGUCUCAGAGGAGCAGGCAGCAGAGGAGCUCACGUCCCUUCAACCACUGGUCAUUCAGGCAUCCCACUGCCUACGGCUGAAACCUGCAGGAGUGGCCAGGGAAGAUUUCUGCUUAUUGCUGCUCACCCCAGGCUCAGGCAAUGGCCCAAGUCAGUCCUGAGAGCAGGGACCUCUGCAAGCCCAGGUUCCACGGAGGCUGUGGCUGUUUCUGUAACUGCACUCAAUGCUCAGCGCUGGAUUGAGAGUGAGUGAGGUUGGAAGAGACCAAUGGAGUUUAUCUGAUCCCAAGUGGUGACCUGCUCUUGUGUUGACUCACAGCGCCUCUGUGGCCUUCUGAGAAUGUGGAGAAUAUCUUCUACGAAUACCUCUUACUAACAAACACAAAAGUUCGCCUUCAGUGAACAGUGAACAGUUCAGAAGUCUCUAAGUAAUUCCAUUACCUGCUGGUGAUAAUAGAUCAUAUUUAUGAAUGAAAUCCUAUUUGCUGAUAUGGUACCUUCUGUUCCAGUCAGGUUCACGUUCUAAUGUAAGAAAUUUACUGAUGAGCAUGAGUACAGAAAUAAAGCAAU